AGAGUUUGAUCCUGGCUCAGGAUGAACGCUGGCGGCGUGCCUAAUACAUGCAAGUCGAACGAGGUGCUUUUGUAGCAAUACGAGAGUAUCCUAGUGGCGAACGGGUGAGUAACGCGUGGGUGACCUGCCCCAAAGUGUGGGAUAACAGAUCGAAAGAUCUGCUAAUACCGCAUGUGGUUAUCGGGUUUAGAAAUCGGUAACUAAAGCAGCAAUGCGCUUUGGGAGGGACCUGCGUCCCAUCAGCUAGUUGGUGAGGUAACGGCUCACCAAGGCGACGACGGGUAGGGGACCUGAGAGGGUGGCCCCCCACAAUGGAACUGAAACACGGUCCAUACACCUACGGGUGGCAGCAGUAGGGAAUAUUGCUCAAUGGGCGAAAGCCUGAAGCAGCAACGCCGCGUGUGCGAUGAAGGCCUUCGGGUCGUAAAGCACUUUUCUGAGAGAUGAGAAAGGACAGUAUCUCAGGAAUAAGUCUCGGCUAACUACGUGCCAGCAGCCGCGGUAAAACGUAGGAGGCGAGCGUUAUCCGGAUUCACUGGGCGUAAAGCGCGUGCAGGCGGUUCGGUAAGUUGGGCGUGAAAUCUCCUGGCUUAACUAGGAGAGGUCGUUCAAUACUACCGGACUCGAGAGUGGUAGAGGAAGAUGGAAUUCCCGGUGUAGUGGUGAAAUGCGUAGAUAUCGGGAGGAACACCAGUGGCGAAAGCGAUCUUCUGGACCAUUUCUGACGCUCAGACGCGAAAGCUAGGGUAGUAAACGGGAUUAGAGACCCCGGUAAUCCUAGCCGUAAACGAUGU
RNAcentral lists this ribosomal RNA (794 nucleotides) under Anaerolineales bacterium UBA2356. Its description in RNAcentral is "bacterial SSU rRNA". It matches the Rfam family "Bacterial small subunit ribosomal RNA", at positions 8 to 812 of the family's 1533-position model. The record is from RNAcentral. Lineage: Bacteria; Bacillati; Chloroflexota; Anaerolineae; Anaerolineales.